RNAcentral lists this ribosomal RNA (818 nucleotides) under uncultured bacterium. RNAcentral's name for it is "bacterial SSU rRNA". It matches the Rfam family "Bacterial small subunit ribosomal RNA", at positions 637 to 1446 of the family's 1533-position model. The record is from RNAcentral.
CCGGCUNGAGUGCGGUAGGGGAGACUGGAACUCCUGGUGUAGCGGUGGAAUGCGCAGAUAUCAGGAAGAACACCGGUGGCGAAGGCGGGUCUCUGGGCCGUUACUGACGCUGAGGAGCGAAAGCGUGGGGAGCGAACAGGAUUAGAUACCCUGGUAGUNCACGCCGUAAACGUUGGGCACUAGGUGUGGGGGGCCUUUUCCGGGUCUUCCGCGCCGUAGCUAACGCAUUAAGUGCCCCGCCUGGGGAGUACGGCCGCAAGGCUAAAACUCAAAGGAAUUGACGGGGGCCCGCACAAGCGGCGGAGCAUGCGGAUUAAUUCGAUGCAACGCGAAGAACCUUACCAAGGCUUGACAUGUGCCGGUCGGCUCCGGAGACGGGGUUUCCUCCUUGUGGGGCCGGUUCACAGGUGGUGCAUGGUUGUCGUCAGCUCGUGUCGUGAGAUGUUGGGUUAAGUCCCGCAACGAGCGCAACCCUUGUCCCGUGUUGCCAGCACGUUGUGGUGGGGACUCGCGGGAGACUGCCGGGGUCAACUCGGAGGAAGGUGGGGAUGACGUCAAAUCAUCAUGCCCCUUAUGUCUUGGGCUUCACGCAUGCUACAAUGGCCGGUACAGAGGGCUGCGAUACCGUGAGGUGGAGCGAAUCCCUUAAAGCCGGUCUCAGUUCGGAUCGGUGUCUGCAACUCGACACCGUGAAGUUGGAGUCGCUAGUAAUCGCAGAUCAGCAACGCUGCGGUGAAUACGUUCUCGGGCCUUGUACACACCGCCCGUCACGUCAUGAAAGUCGGCAACACCCGAAGCCCGUGGCCCUACGGGGAGCG